Molecule: ribosomal RNA, 447 nt
Filed under: uncultured bacterium
Lineage: Bacteria
Description: partial 16S ribosomal RNA
Rfam family: Bacterial small subunit ribosomal RNA
Source: RNAcentral
AGCGAACGCUGGCGGCAGGCUUAACACAUGCAAGUCGAACGCCCCGCAAGGGGAGUGGCAGACGGGUGAGUAACACGUGGGAACGUACCCUUUGGUUCGGAAUAACUUGGGGAAACUCAAGCUAAUACCGGAUAAGCCCUUAUGGGGAAAGGUUUACUGCCGAAGGAUCGGCCCGCGUGUGACUCGCUAGUUGGUGAGGUAAUGGCUCACCAAGGCGACGAACAGUAGCUGGUCUGAGAGGAUGAUCAGCCACACUGGGACUGAGACACGGCCCAGACUCCUACGGGAGGCAGCAGUGGGGAAUAUUGGACAAUGGGGGCAACCCUGAUCAAGCAAUGCCGCGUGAGUGAUGAAGGCCUUAGGGUUGUAAAGCUCUUUUACCCGGGACGAUAAUGACUGAACCGGGAGAAUAAGCCCCGGAUAACUUCGUGCCAGCCGCCGCGGUAA